AACGAACGCUGGCGGCAUGCCUAACACAUGCAAGUCGAACGGGAUCCUAGCUUGCUAGGUGAGAGUGGCGGACGGGUGAGUAACGCGUGGGAAUCUGCCUUUUGGUUCGGGAUAACCGCGGGAAACUGCGGCUAAUACCGAAUGCCCUCGAGAGAGGAAAGAUUUAUCGCCAGAAGAGGAGCCCGCGUCCGAUUAGGUAGUUGGUGGGGUAAAGCCUACCAAGCCGACGAUCGGUAGCUGGUCUGAGAGGAUGAUCAGCCACACUGGGACUGAGACACGGCCCAGACUCCUACGGGAGGCAGCAGUGGGGAAUAUUGGACAAUGGGGGCAACCCUGAUCCAGCAAUGCCGCGUGAGUGAUGAAGGCCUUAGGGUUGUAAAGCUCUUUUGCCAGGGAAGAUGAUGACUGUACCUGGAGAAUAAGCCCCGGCUAACUUCGUGCCAGCAGCCGCGGUAAU
RNAcentral lists this ribosomal RNA (457 nucleotides) under uncultured bacterium. RNAcentral describes it as "bacterial SSU rRNA". It matches the Rfam family "Bacterial small subunit ribosomal RNA", at positions 29 to 524 of the family's 1533-position model. The record is from RNAcentral.